CUGAGUCGUAAAAAACUCCCAAACCCAUGUGAACUUACCUAUGUUGCCUCGGUGGGACCUACCCUGUACCUACCCUGUAGUUACCCUGUAGCCCGCCGAAGGACCAUUCAACUCUUGUUAUUUUAUAUAAAUCUGAGCGUCUUAUUAAAUAAGUCA
RNAcentral lists this unclassified non-coding RNA (156 nucleotides) under uncultured Xylariales. RNAcentral's name for it is "sequence contains ITS1". Lineage: Eukaryota; Fungi; Ascomycota; Sordariomycetes; Xylariales. The record is from RNAcentral.